RNAcentral lists this long non-coding RNA (746 nucleotides) under Pan troglodytes (chimpanzee). RNAcentral's name for it is "lincRNA". Lineage: Eukaryota; Metazoa; Chordata; Mammalia; Primates; Hominidae. The record is from RNAcentral.
AUUUCCACUGACCAAUUCUCAUGGAGAAUUGAGUAAUUAAUCAGUUUAUAAAAUCUAUAACAACUAUAAAAAUAUUGAAUUCAUUGUGUUUUUGCCCAUUGAUUUUUGUCAAAUAUUUUAAUCACAAUAAACAAUUUAAAUUUAUGAAAGGAAGACCAAAGUACAUUUGGAGGAGGAAAUCUCUCAUUUCUGUUUUUGAGCAUUCUUUCUCAGGAAACAGAACAUAUUUUUAAAGAGAAACAUCUUAACACAUCUGGUGUGAUCUUCUAGUUAUCUAGUUUAAGCCAAAAAAAGGUGGCAUCAUCUGUUUUUCUUUCAUACGUUUUGAAACAUGAGUUUCUGAAAGCUAUUUCCUAACAUAUGUCAAUUUAACAUCUGCUGGUUUCUAACUGAUAAUGAGGAACAGUGCGCUGGCAGCCCCUCCAAUAGUGCCAAGGUAUUUCCCAUUAGAAUUGCUUUCACUUUGGAAUUGUCAGUAAUAUUUUUACUCUAGGAUAGCCUAUUUUCCUAACUUGAAGGAGAUACAUGAAUGGAAGCACAGAGAAGGAAGAAUAAACAGAUUGAUAUAUUUACAGUUAUGUGGCAGCACAGCAGAGAAAGAUUUCAAAAAGAAAUAUUAGAUAAGAAAGUCAAUGUCAUAGGUCACAGAUUAAACUCCUUCUCCUGGCAAAGCAUGCUUCCCUAUACUACAUCUUAAUUCACCCUUGUUAUUCAAUACCAAGAGUAUUUGAAAACAGAAUUAAAAU